RNAcentral lists this ribosomal RNA (460 nucleotides) under uncultured bacterium. Its description in RNAcentral is "partial 16S ribosomal RNA". It matches the Rfam family "Bacterial small subunit ribosomal RNA", at positions 338 to 795 of the family's 1533-position model. The record is from RNAcentral.
CCUACGGGAGGCAGCAGUGAGGAAUAUUGGUCAAUGGGCUCAAGCCUGAACCAGCCAAGUCGCGUGAGGGAAGACUGCCCUAUGGAUUGUAAACCUCUUUUGUCAGGGAGCAACGCCGGCUACGUGUAGCCGGACUGAGAGUACCCGAAGAAAAAGCAUCGGCUAACUCCGUGCCAGCAGCCGCGGUAAUACGGAGGAUGCGAGCGUUAUCCGGAUUUAUUGGGUUUAAAGGGUGCGUAGGCGGAAUGCCAAGUCAGCGGUAAAAUGGCGGGGCUCAACCUCGCUCUGCCGUUGAAACUGGUGUUCUUGAGUGGGCGAGAAGUAUGCGGAAUGCAUGGUGUAGCGGUGAAAUGCUUAGAUAUCAUGAAGAACUCCGAUCGCGAAGGCAAGAGUCCGGGGUGCAACUGACGCUGAGGCUCGAAAGCGUGGGUAUCAAACAGGAUUAGAUACCCGAGUAGUC